GACCCAGUAUGGUGGAGUGGUUUGAGUAUUGGACUAUUACUCUAGAGGACAGGGUUUGAAUCCCUGCUUGGCCA
Molecule: non-coding RNA, 74 nt
Organism: Phrynosoma platyrhinos (Desert horned lizard)
Lineage: Eukaryota; Metazoa; Chordata; Lepidosauria; Squamata; Phrynosomatidae
Source: the annotation of a GenBank genome assembly